This 253-nucleotide ribosomal RNA is filed under the name uncultured bacterium. RNAcentral's name for it is "partial 16S ribosomal RNA". It matches the Rfam family "Bacterial small subunit ribosomal RNA", at positions 524 to 776 of the family's 1533-position model. The record is from RNAcentral.
UACGAAGGGGGCUAGCGUUGCUCGGAAUCACUGGGCGUAAAGGGUGCGUAGGCGGGUCUUUAAGUCAGGGGUGAAAUCCUGGAGCUCAACUCCAGAACUGCCUUUGAUACUGAGGGUCUCGAGUCCGGGAGAGGUGAGUGGAACUGCGAGUGUAGAGGUGAAAUUCGUAGAUAUUCGGAGGAACACCAAUGGCGUAGGCAGCCAACUGGACAAUUACUGACGCUCAUGCACGAAAGCGUGGGGAUCAAACAGG